UACAGAGGUCUCAAGCGUUGUUCGGAUUCAUUUGGCGUAAAGGGUGCGUAGGCGGCGCGGUAAGUCGGGUGUGAAAUCUUGGAGCUUAACUCCGAAACUGCAUUCGAUACUGCCGUGCUUGAGGACUGGAGAGGAGACUGGAAUUUACGGUGUAGCGGUGAAAUGCGUAGAUAUCGUAAGGAAGACCAGUGGCGAAGGCGGGUCUCUGGACAGUUCCUGACGCUGAGGCACGAAGGCCAGGGGAGCAAACGGG
This 253-nucleotide ribosomal RNA is filed under the name uncultured bacterium. RNAcentral's name for it is "partial 16S ribosomal RNA". It matches the Rfam family "Bacterial small subunit ribosomal RNA", at positions 524 to 776 of the family's 1533-position model. The record is from RNAcentral.